Felis catus (domestic cat) is the source of this 85-nucleotide transfer RNA. It matches the Rfam family "tRNA". From Rfam's summary of the family: Transfer RNA (tRNA) molecules are approximately 80 nucleotides in length. NCBI's taxonomy places the organism in Eukaryota, Metazoa, Chordata, Mammalia, Carnivora, Felidae. The record is from Rfam.
GCCUGGGUGGCUCAGUCGGUUGAGCGUCUGACUUCAGGUCAGGUCAUGAUCUCGCGGUCUGUGAGUUCAAGCCCCACUUCGGGCU